Molecule: non-coding RNA, 2619 nt
Organism: Equus caballus (horse)
Lineage: Eukaryota; Metazoa; Chordata; Mammalia; Perissodactyla; Equidae
Source: RefSeq, a predicted model, not a curated record
UUUAUUUAAUAGCUUUGUUUUUACUUAGGGGAACCACCGUGGACAAAGAAGAUACUUUAGAGUGAGCAUUGUGAGUUGGCACAAGAUAAAACUGGGAAGGUGACCCAGAUCCUAGCCCUGGCUGUCAGGCAGAGUGACCCUGGACCGGUCUGUAGCUCUUCCAUUGUAAAAGCAUUAAAACAACAGAAACAAUGCUGUGGGAUGAGUCUGACACCAAUCACACGACAGCACGUAAGCAUCCAGCAGAAACAGGCUCACUGUCUUGAACUACCUGGAUUUUAACCGAGAAGAGAAUGCAUCCUUAGGGCUAACAGAUGCUUUGGGCCCAACAUCAACCUCUGACACAAUUCAGAGAUUUAUGGAAAUAAGAUAUGAAAAAGAUACAUGAGACCCUCACAAUGAAAGUGUUACUGACAGCAUUCAGAACACAUUGGACUCCUAAUAGCAAAAUGGAAUGUUGAAAAAGUUUAGUUUUGUUGAAAGUUCAUGGAAGAAUGUAGUAGGUAUGCUUUAGGAUGUCUCUCAUCCACAGUACAUUUCCUUAGGAUCAUCCCUUACCAACAGACUCUCCUGAAGCCGAGGGCUUAGGUGACCACAUCUCUAUAGCCAUCACCCCCGCCACAGCUGAUGGAACCAGGGCGACGCCAGUGUCAGCUUGAUAGGGAAUACUGAACACAACCAGACCAAGAUGGUCUCUACGGAAACCAGAAAGCAAGGUCACAGAGGACGUGGGAUGCAAUUGUGUGUGGAAAGCCAAAGGCACGGCAAGCUGGAACUAGAGGGAAGGGGUGGACACAGCAGCGACAGCAAUAAUCGAGGCAGCUGACACUUAUGCUGUGUGUGCCAGCCACCUCUCUCUCUCAGGUCGCACAGCUGGGACGUGGCAGAGGCGGAAGGCAGCCCAAGUGACGCAGCUCUCAAGCUCGCUUACAAAAUCCCCACAAGCAUCCUUCUGCCUCACAGGAAGCCCAGGAGGCAGCUGGAGGGAGGAGGAUGGGAGGGACGUGCAGGAGAAGCAGACCACGAGACGCAGCGGGGCAGGGAGAACAUUGAGCAGCGGCCUCCUGCCUGAGAAGCCUGGCGUCCCAGCUCCAGUCCGCACGUGAGCUUGCUGUGCUUGGCGGGAGGUCUGCGUCCUACGCCACCCUCCCUCUCCUCCUCCGUGCCUUUGAGGAGAACGAGUUUCAGUGGAUUUCUGUUCCUUGACGUCAAAGAAUGCUUCUAGAAUGAAGAAGCAUCCACAAGGAUGGAGGGGUUGGGUGGACAUUUCUUAUACAGGGGUCAGGGCAGAGAGCAUUAUCUCAACGUCCUCUGGUUGGGAUGCUAUUUUUUCCACCUUAUAGGUUUAGAAAGACGAGCACCUGCAAUUCAUGAAGGGAACGUCUUCUCAAGGGAAACUCUGCAAGAGGAAACCAAGCUGCCGCGUGAGCUUGGAAUUACUUGGAAUACCCUUGGCUAAAUUACAGCUGCUGAAUCCAGUUUCUUAAGAUGUUGUCUUUUAGGACCUUUGCCCCAAUUUCCUUAAAGGAAUUACUUGUUCAUUUUUCAAGGCUUUUACCCACCUCUAGGACCCUCACCCCACUCAUCACCUGCCUCUGAUGCAAGGCACCACUUACAAGCUGCUGCUCUCCUCGAGAUGAAAAAGCUGGAAUCCUAAACAGUGUGCCAAGUCCUUGGUAUAGCUUUGGGAGGAAGCUGUCCUAUCGUGGAAACGACAUGAGCUGGGAAGCUCCCUUGGUCCCUUGGGUUUGCCAGGGAGGAUCAGACCAAGGGAGCUUCCAGGAAUGCAGGAGCAGGUACACCAAGGAGAGAGCCUUCGUCUUUGAAAGGCUCUGAUGGAGGUCAGCUGGGCAGAUAUGGAAUCACCCAGGAGGGGAGGAUGCUCCAACUACAGGGCAAGCCGGCCACUGUGCAAAGUUCAGAGCCAUGGCUCAGGUGGCUCAAUCUUUGGUUUUUCAGGGUCUGGAGAGCUGGCUCCGGUUUUUCCAAUUACACUCAAACACACCAGCAAGGGAAAAAUCCACUUUGGCUCACUCAUUUAUUUAUUCUCCUCUCUUGUGACUUCCCAAAGGGCUUUAUGAAUGCUGUGUGACUUUAGCUCUUUGAGCCCUUGAAGAAUGGUUUGGGAACCAACAACCUUUUCCUCUAAGCAAAUUUUAGCGUUCUUUCUGAGUUGAGCCACUGAGGACUUCCUGUUUAAGGCUGAAAAUAUUUAAGUGAGCAAGCAGCUCCAGCCAGUUUAAGGGGCACCGGAGUUGUUGCAAGGCAGAGCAUUUUAGUACACGAGCAUCAGCCUGGCACAAAGUCACGGGUUACCUCACCUGUCCUCCGAGUUAAUCUUGUUAUGUUAAUGGGUGUCCUUUCCCUACUGUGGAGACUCGAUGUUCUUGGCACCUGGACAGCGCCCUAAGGCUUGACUCAGAGGCGCACAAGGACUUGUGGAGAACUUGGUCAUUGCCAGUAGGGGCUGCAGACACUCCCUGACCAGCGAGUGGUCCCAGAUUCCCAGGAAUGUGUGCACCUGAGGACCCUGAAAGACCUGCUCCAGAAAAGCAGCCUCAGAUGAAAGGGAGGGACUCCUGGGGGUUCCUUUGGGACUCAGCAUAUACCUUACCUUCU